CCGACCCUGCGCCGUGCCCAGCCCCUCUGCCCUCCUGUUACCCCGGGACCUCGGGCCGCCAGCCCCUUCCACGUGCAGGCUCCUGCUGCUCUCGCGGGGGCUUUUCGUGUGUCCCCCGAGAUGUCGAGGAAGCCAGAGUCCAGCUCUCCCACGGGUGGCUGUGAUCCUUCUUCCUGGGGAGUCCUGCUGUCCCUGACUAGGGGCACCUGCCCACCUGUCAGCUGCUCCUCCCUCGGCUGGUCCUCCUGGGCUCUGAUGGCCCCAACAUUUCUAGCUCUUCUCACCCAUAGUGCCCCGAGCUUCAUGCAGCUGCAGCAGCAGCAUGAACAGACUGAGAUAGCGGCUUACAUGUAACCGGAAGCUGCAGAAAAACAUCUUCAGACAGCUGAGACGGCUCCCAGGACUCAUGCCUGGCACAGACACCAUCUGCCUGGCAGGGCAAAGAAAGGCGUCUAUGAGUGUGGGAGGAUUCCGAGUCUAACACCCUGAGCCCAGCCAGGAAGGGGCCAGGAAGGCCUCCUCGUGAACAACGAAUGAAACAGAACCCAGAUCUCAGACAGGGCGGGGAAGGGGAGGGGUACCAUGUCAAGCAGCACUCUGUGUAAGUCGGCACCUGCGCACACUGGCAUGCAGACGUGUGUAUUGUGCGUGUAUGGACAUGUUAGAAAUGGAUGUGUGCAUGUGUCUGCAUGUGUUUGUGCAUUUAUGCACAGACACUACACGGGCAUGCACAUCAUGUACGUAUAUGUUUGCAUAUGUGCAUGUGUGUACGUGCAUGUGUUCGUGUGUGCAUGCACACAGCAUGUGUGUGUGUGUAUACUUGCAUGCAUGCUAACAUAUGGUGGAGAAUAAAUAAUGAUCACCUCUCUGGAACUGGGGAAAGUAAGUGUUAAACAGAUUUUCGACAGGAAAUGCUGCUGCAAGGAAUUCAUCCGUAGGCUAGCACUACAACCUGGAGGCAGGGAGCAGUGAGGAGUGGAAAUCUUCCCAUCAGAAGUGAAGAAGGCUGGAUACGGUGGCUCACACCAGUAAUCCCAGCACUUUGGGAGGCAAAGGCAGGAGGAUCACUUGAGCCCAGGAGUUUGAGACCAGCCUAGGCAACUUAGCAAGACCUUGUCUUCAAAAAAAAAAAAAAAUUUUACAAGGAACUACACAGAUGGCAAAACUUAAAAAAAAAAAAAAAGUGGGAAGAGGGGAGAAAGGGAGAUCAAUGUCUUCUACAGAUUUCAUCUUGUCGGGUGGAGAGUGUGAGGAGUAGAGCCAUGUGGUGGGAAACUGUUGGUGUCUUGUUUGCGAAUGACUUUGGAACAAAGACCACCUGAUAAGCACAGUUAAGGAAUGAAAACACACAGGGACUUCCCAGGGAGCCAGGAGGACACUGGGGGAGCAUGAACACCUGCCUUUCCCAUGGGGCCCUGGUGUGCCCAGCCCCCCACUUCAUGUCUGACCCACGUGCUCUCUGGCUGACCUCCUGGGACUCGCACCCGGCCCCCACUUGGUAUCUGAGCCAUGUACUUCCCGGCUGACCUCCCGCAACGUGAAGACUACUCUCGCUCCCUUCAAGGCCACUGUCCCCACCGCAGCCAGAGAGGUGUUUUAUAGUUCAAAUCCUGCCCAGGCACCAUCUUGCCUAAAGGCAGCCCUGAGCCGGAAUCUGUGUGCUUUGCUGAUGGGACUGUAAAAUGGCGCAGUCACUUUUGAAACAGUCUGACAGUUCCUCAAAAGCUUAAACAUAGACUUACCACAUACCCAGCAAUUCCACGCCCAGGCUCUGCCCCAGGAGAAUUGAAAACAUCUAUCCACACGGAAACUUGUACACAAAUGUUCACAGUUGCACUAUUUAUCAUCAUCAGGAUGCCUAUAAUUGAUGAACAGAUGAACAAAUUGUGCUAUAUCCAUAUAAUUAAAUAUUAUUCAGUCAUAAGAAUGAGGCCGGG
Molecule: long non-coding RNA, 1937 nt
Filed under: Pan troglodytes (chimpanzee)
Lineage: Eukaryota; Metazoa; Chordata; Mammalia; Primates; Hominidae
Description: long non-coding RNA NONPTRT006972
Source: RNAcentral